UGAUAGUUUUUGUAAGAUGUUGCUGGUGUUUGCUUGUCAUAUUUUAACACUGUGAGGCAUCUUAGGAAAGUGUUAUACAGCUGCAUAAUGUUGAAACUGAAAAGGUACAGAUAACUAAUUUUAUGUUCUCUGGCAUAUUGUGGGAGGGAGCAAUGUGACAAAAAACUGUUGUGUGAAGGAGCACUUGGCUGACUUUACUUUGUGUCAGCCUUAAAAUGGCAAUGUCGCUUCUAGGCUCCCUAAAAUGCCCCACAACGCCUGCUUUCUCAAAAUGAAAAUUUGGCCUCUGCAAGCUGGUUCAUUGUGCUCCCCAAGUCACCUGUUCACAAAGCCCACGUAAUUGGUAGUUAUUCAAUUAUUUAUGCAGCUGCUCUGGCUUUUAGCAGAAGUAGUAAUUCUUGUAAUGGUGGUGUAUGUGGGAUUUAAUUAUCUCUUACCAUAAUAGUUAUUUGUUUGUCCUGCUCCACAAAGGUCUUCUCAUUUAAUCCUCAUUUAAUAGUUCUCUAAUGGCAUAUUCUGUCAUGUAGUUGCCCUGCUUCAUCCUCCUAAGGAUAAGAAAUUAGACUUCCUGUGCACACUUAUGCCCAAGUAAGCCUCAUUGAGGGACGUGGGUGGCACUGUGGUCUAAACCACAGAGCCUAGGGCUUGCCGAUCAGCAGGUCGCUGGUUCGAAUCCCCGCAAUGGGGUGAGCUCCCAUUGUUUGGUCCCAGGUCCUGCCCACCUAGCAGUUCGAAAGCACGUCAAAGUACAAAUAGAUAAAUAGGUACCGCUCCGGCGGGAAGGUAAACGGUGUUUCCGUGUGCUGCUCUGGUUCGCCAGAAGCGGCUUAGUCAUGCUGGCCACAUGACCCGGAAGCUGUCUGCGGACAAAUGUCAGCUCCCUCAGCCUAUAGAGCGAGAUGAGCGUGCAACCCCAGAGUUGUCCGCAACUGGACCUAACGGUCAGGGGUACCUUUACCUUUAAGACUCAUUGAACAUAGCAGGACUAGCUUCCAAGUAACCAAGCAUAGGAACAGCCCUCCCCCUUUAACUUUGGCAUUUUGAUUCAUAAGCAGACAAACCUUGUAACAUUUUUGGGGCAGUGGCAAGGAGACCUCCUUGAGCUGGUGUUGUAUACUGACUGAGACUGCAGUCUUACUCACCCUUACCUGGGAGCAAGGCCUGUUGCAUUCAGCAGUACUUGCUUCUGAGUAGACACAGGAUUGCACUGUGAGGCAUUGAAUACUAUACUGGUGUGUGUUUAAUGCAGUGAUGCCCAAAUUUGGCCCUCCAGCUAUUUUGGGACAUCAUCCCUGAUCACUGGUCCUGUUAGCUAGGGAUGAUGGGAGUUGUAGUCCGAAAACAGCUGGAGGACCAAGUUUGGCCAUCACUGGUUUAAUGAUUGUGAAGAAUCUUGGCUGCUGACACCCCAUGCAUUUCAAGCACACCCCCCUGCCCAAAAGAAUCCUGGGAACUGUAGUUUACUUCUCAUAGAGCUACAGUCCUCAGCACUCUAAACAACCCACAGUUCCCAUGAUUCUUUGUGGUGGUGGGGAACAUGUUUUAAAUGUAUUGAGUGUUCUCAGUCAACUUCCAGAAACUUCAUUCAGCAUGACCAAUUGUGAGGAAUGAUGGUAGUUCAACAUCUGGAGGGCAGUAGGUUACAUCUGGAGGGCACUCUCUAACUUACGAGGAUUUCCACACAUGCAGCUAUAAUCAGCUUAGAGCCUCUGUCCUUGCCACAUGUGAAUUUUGAUACUGCAAGAGAUAAUAAAGAAGAGAACUUGGAAUGUAUAUUGCAGCUACAGUAGGUUUUACAUUUGCAUUAUAGACUCAUUUAAGAAGCUUUUUAAAUGCAUUUUUCUCCUUAAGAGUCUCUGCUCCAAUCACUGAAAGACACCCCCCCCCCUUUCCCCUCUGACUUGCAAUUAAAUAGCUGUAAAGAGUACACUACAGAUGGCAUUAUGGUUUUGGGAAAGCAGACAGCAGGCCCCAUUUUCCUUGUAAAUGCUAGCAUUUUCAAUUUUCAGUAUUCAAAUGACUCAGGAAAAAUACAUGCUGCAUCAAUAAGCUUGUUCCUCAAUGAAUGAAUUUAAAGAAGGCAGAAAAAUAGGAACCAAAAUGUCAGCAGCAUUUGGAAGCUAUGCUCUUAAGUGGUUUGGAGGAAAUUGUGGCCUGUUACCUGAGAUACGGAAACCAUAGCCUGCAUUUUGCCCUGCAGUGGAACUUGAGAGGAGGAUGUGGGCUGCAAUGCUAUACCUACUGUCCUAGGAGUCAGCCCCGCUGAACUCAAUAGGACUUACUUCUGAGCAGUGUUUUCCCCCCCUAAGAAAAUGUUUAGCGGUGCUCUCAUUUUCCUACUCAUAUUGAAAUACUGCCCAUCAAUGAGACCAAACUUAGAUUCACAAAAUGUUUAGGGGUAUUCAUCCCCCCAGAAAAAAAGCACUGCUUCUGAGUAAACAUGCUUAGGAUUGUGCUGUUGAGUGCCUUACAAGAAGAUACUUGCACUAUGCUAGGUAAAAGCUAGUAUUUAAAUAAUGCAUUUAAAAAGGGAACAUGUUUUGGGGAGAGGAGAGGAAGUAACAGCUUGAAACCUGAAAUCUAGUAUUUCCUGCAGUUAUUUUUUCCUGCUUUAUUUAUUUACUGGCCAGGGAGUGGAAGGGGGAAUAAGUGCAGCCAUAGAACUUCAUUUGAUAUAGAACCUUACAGUUGGGCAAGGGUAAUUACUCAGUUUCGUAAAACAGGACAAGAGUCUUUUGAAGAUAAAAAAAUAGAUAAAAACCAAGAUAAAAAAAUAGGAUUUGAACAGAAAACAUCAAAAUUACAAAGUGAACUACUGCAACCAAAUAGGAAAAUAAUAUCGAAAAUAUACAGCUUGCUCCUUGAAAGAUGAGGUAAUAAAAGAACCAAUGAUAAAAUGGUCACAAGAGCUGGGCCAGACAAUUCACUUAGACAGAUGGGAAAGACUAGGGAAAACUGAUAUAAAUUUUACAGUGUGCUAUUUGAAUAAGGAAAACAUAAUGAAGAUGUUUUACCGCUGGUACCUCACCCUAGUAAAACUAUCAAAGAUGUACAAAAAACAAUCAAAUCUCUGUCGGAGAUGCAAAACAGAGGUGGGGACGAUGUACCAAAAGUGGUGGGGGUGCAACGUGGUAUUUUUGCUGGGUUUAGUAUUGAGUGACAUCCCCAAGGAUAAAAGGAAUAUAUUCCUUUACGCAACCGCAGCAGCCAGAAUCGCAAGGGCAGCCAGAAUCGUAGUGGCGUAAAAUUGGAAAACUGAUAAAAUACCAGAAUUAUUAGAAUGGAGAACCAAACUUCUCGAAUUCACGGAGAUGGCAAAAUUAACAGCAUCAAUCAGAGGCUGCUCUAAUCAAAAAAUUAAUAAAGAGUGGGAAUGUGUUAAGGAAUACAUGAAAAAAGUUGGUGCUGGAGCUUAAAAAUUAAUAUGCAAAAGUUUAAAAGGUGCAAGGAGAUAGGAUAAUAUACUAAGGAUGGAAUAACAAAUAAAAUGAGUAACGCAACAAUAACAAAAAUAAUAGUAGGCAAAGAAGAUCCCACACAGGUGGAGGGAAGUAUUGGGUUGUGUGGGAGGGAGGGAGGCAUUAAUUGAAAUUGUUAAAGAUUGGCAUAGGAUUUAAGAGACUUAAAAUAAGGAAUUAAAAUAAGGAAAGCAGAAAGUAAUAGCAGAAAAAAUAGAAAGCAGAAAAAAUAGAAAAAAGUAUUUUCUCUUUAUUAUGAAGUCCCUUUUUCUUUUUUGCAAGGUGCCUGUAUUUUCAACUGUUACACAAUAGGUGGAAAUCCAGCAGGGUAUGCUUCUCAACAUAAAGUUGCAGACAUGAAAAACCAUUCACCUGCUGAAUUUCUGCCUGCCAUGUAGCUGUUUAAAGCACAAUAACCCUCUCCCCGAAAGGUGGGAACCCCCCCCCCAAGGAGUGAUAGAAACUUGCUUUUAUAAAAGAAAUACAUGAAGGUUCCAAUAGACAUGAUAGAUUUCUUUUUCACUAGGAGCAAAAUUCUGCCACUCAUUGUACUGUCAUAGUCAUAUUGAUUCCUGUAUCUUUUACAGAGAAGCUGAAGCAACACCACCAAUCAGCAAGACGUCUGCCUUCUCCCCUUGUUGUGUCACAUAAGAGUAAGGUAUGUAACUCUUCAUUGCUGGAGGGAUAAGCUUAGAUGUUGCUGCUCUGGCUGAUUGUAAUACCUGUGAGGAUCCUAGCAC
This 4198-nucleotide long non-coding RNA is filed under the name Podarcis lilfordi (Lilford's wall lizard). The record is from RNAcentral. Lineage: Eukaryota; Metazoa; Chordata; Lepidosauria; Squamata; Lacertidae.